This is a long non-coding RNA of Myiozetetes cayanensis, 5868 nucleotides long. RefSeq lists it as uncharacterized. The record is from RefSeq and is a predicted model, not a curated record. NCBI's taxonomy places the organism in Eukaryota, Metazoa, Chordata, Aves, Passeriformes, Tyrannidae. The transcript is spliced from 3 exons.
UUCUCUAGGUUUUUUCUAGGGUCAUGGUCGUCACCUGGGAAUUGUGGUUUUCAGAUUUACGAAAUUACUAGUCGAUAUUUGUGCAAAUUUAGACAGUAGUAUAAUAAAUAAUAGUGGUAUAUGAAUGUGCAGCAGAUAAAAGUAGAGCACUAAUUUCCUCUAUGAUUUCCAGAUUUUACUUCAAACUACACUUAACAGAAUAAACAGAGUAAGCAACAAAAUUUAUACCAUGUUAAAAAAUUUUUAAUAUUUGAGGGGGAAAAAAAGACGUGUAAACUAAUGGUGACAAAACAAUAUAUAAAUACAGCUCUGUUUUAACAGUACCUGUAUACAUAAUUUCGGAUUACUUUGAACAGGUAAGAGCAAAGUAAAGAAGGAUGAGUCUUUGCAGAAAUGGUGCCUGCUCAUUGCCCCGUGUUGACAGCCUUUCCUGCCAUGUUCAUUCAGUCUGCUGAACCAGGAAAAAGCUUUCACUAAAAAGAUUUGCUUAGAAGAAAUAUUCAUUGCUUAUUGGAAGUCAAGAACCAGUUUUAGUAAUUUAGGGUUUUUCUUGGAAAAAAAAAAAAAGCUACUAUACUAAUGGAUUUUUUCUCAUUAAGUACUACUUUAACCAGCAUGGUAAAAACUUUUUUUUGUUUUCAGCUUCAGAAAGACAAAACUCUCCAAUUUGGACUUCUUUUCUAAGCGCUUCCUCAACUGUACAGAAUUACAAGAAGGUCUCAUCUACUGCCAAGCCUCUAUACUCACUUCUGAGUUAGUUCUCAAAGCGGAGUGAAGUAUCUGGCUUCACUUUUCUCUAAUUUUUACCAGAUGUGUUUCAGUUUAAAACUUGAUUGACAUUUAUCUUACCUUGACAGAAGCUUGAUUACUUGCGAUAGGAAAAGGUUCUUUAUGUUAUUUUUUGAUAAACAGUUACUUUUCUAUCCCAGGUUAAGAUACUAACUCUUACCCGUUCCCAAACAGCAACAGCUGAAAUUUUUUUACAUUAAACAAAUAUUAGGUGCUUGUGGCUGGCAUGAUGCCUUAGUGUCCAGUAAAGUUACUUCUUGGAUUUGCUUAUUUUGAUGAAGUUUUAGCAAAAGUAAAAUGCGAAAUCAAAUUUUCUCCAAGAGUUCUACUGAGGCGGGACUCUGUUAAACUCUGUUAAUUUAGGAUUAAAGAGAGAAAAAAAAUCCAGGAAUAAAGGCCCUUUGAUAGCAGUGGGGGAUGAGAAAGGGAAAAUGUUCUCGCUGCGGACUAAUCAGAGUGUAAUUGCUAAAGGAACCAAUCUUUCAUUAAUUGCAAAAGCAGUAAACUCAAUCAGCUACAGUGCCAAAAUAUUGCUGUUCAGCUGAAGAAUUUUAUUGAAUUAAUUGAUUUAAUUGUUUUAAGUAAUGCUGUUAUAAGAGUCAUUAUUAAGAAACAUUAUAUAAUAUCAAUUAAGCAACAUUGUAUGAUCUCAAUAUAAUUUUCUGAAACAUAAAAACUUUUUAUGAGGCAAGUGAUUUUCUUCUCAAAAAAAAAAAAAAAAGAUGAGACAAUGAUUUUGAUUUAAAAGAGCAUCCUGACUAGGCUAUGUUUCAUUAGAAAUUGCCAGUACUUGAUUUUGGAUGUCAUCAUAGGUGAUGUGAAGCACUUUGUAAGUAAAGGGUGCUUUAACUAUGUUUAGACUAGCUUAAACAUUUCUGAUAGCAUUUUCUCAGAGUCAAAAAGUUGGUUUCAUCCAAUCUGCCUAAUCUGGAUACAAAGGACCAGGGAAGUCUGCCUCCUGCCUUUGCACACCCUCCCUCCACUCCUUUUUAGUCCUGCAGGAACAUUGUACAAGUGCUGCAGGUUACUCGCUACUUCCAGAAUUUGUUUAAACUGUAAUAAGCAGUCCUGUCUUAUCUUCCAGUCUUCUGCCUGAUUAUUGUCAUUUACAUCUCUCUCCCUUCUGCCAGAUGUUAGUGCAGUCACAGGACGACACUCUGGGUUAAAACUAAAUUCUUUUUUUUUCCCUCCCAUAUGUAUUUAUGACUAUUUGCAGUCACUGGGGAAGCAAGGAGAGUGAAAACAGUGAUUGGGUCAGUGUGAAGUUGGCACUGCCUCUUUUAGCAUCAGCAUUUGCUUAUGUUGACUUAAGGGAGUUGUGGGACUACAGAGUUAGCAUUGCUCCUACAGGGCUCAAACCCAGCCAGGGUCUCUGGAGCUAGAAGCGGGAACCCAGACACAUCAGCCACUUGUUCCCUUCCUUCCCCAACAGUGUUUGGGCUGAAUGAAAAUUAAUCUCAUUGACACCAGUUCUGAUGUAUCAUCUCUUAAACUCAAAACCAGAGGGAAAGUGCUGUAUGUAACCCUAUAAAAACAGCAAGUGCAGUGUCCUGGCCAUCUCUGUGUAAUCUUUCUGAGCCUGUGACAGAGACAAUAAAUAUUGACAUCAGUACAACAUCAAGCAAGCUGUUUGGGAAGUUCUCGUGCCACCAUAAACCUUCAGUAUAUUUUUAGCAAUAUCCCAUUAGUCAGUGAAUCACAGAUAACCUGAUAGCAUAAGAUUUGUAGGGAAAGGCAAUGUAAUUCAUUAGAUCCAAUUGCAUAAUUCAGCAGGGAACAAUCACAUUUCCAGAUGUCAAGAGGUAAAGCUUGUUAGUCUUUCAGAUAUGGUACACAAUCGAGGAGGUAGUGACAGUGACUGAGUUCCCAUAAGAUGACUUUCUCUGAACGCUAUUUGUGUUCAGAAAGUCACUUGACUUCCUACCAUCAAGCUGUGGACUCAGUGCAGCUCAAGGGUCCAAAAGGCCAAAUGGGCAAAAUGCCUCGAAAGCCUCUUGGACAAGGUUAUGCUGAAACUCAUUGCAGCUGCAAUAUGAGAAUAGGUUUGUCAUUACUGUUGCUGUUAUUUUUAGCUAUUACAGAUAUAUACAUUACAUCUAUAUCUUGUGUGGCUUGUCCUCUCAAUCAAACACCAUUGCACUAGCAACCAUACAGGUAGGCAGUACAUAACUGUUUCUAACUCACAUUUUUCAGAAAGGAAUAGAGCUUGAAACUCAGGAAAUCUCAUAAGUUAGGACUGGAAUUCAGGAAGGCAUCUUUUCCAUGGAAGGCCUCUCAGGAUUAAGUGCAGUACUGAGAGGUGAAGGACAAACUGCUGGGUCAGAUACAGGCUACAACCACAUGAAGCUGCUAAACUUGUUGGAUCAAUGGCUUGAUCAGAAAGAGCAAAGCCUUGCAGAAUUUUCAGUUUGGUCAGUGCAAAAGUAUGUUUUGCACAUGGUAGCAGGAGGGAUAUAAAAACAUGCCAGUGUAAUAAACAUGUUUCAGCUAGUAUAAUAAACAGAAUUUGGAGCCUUCAGAGCUGAGCCAGAUUUCUCUUUCAAAAGAGUAAAAAUGCAACACCAGGCAUUGUCUCAUAUGACAAAUGAUAAUAAUGAGUAAUAACAAUAACAUGAAUCAUUGUUAUAAGUCAUCUGGUGAUUUCAAAAAUUUUUUAGAAACUCUAAAGCAUUCAGAAAGUUACUCCCACGGGGUGAGGAACACUAUCAAGAGAAUUAUGUGAAACCGAUAGAGAUAAAGCUUUUCAACAAAGAAAAAGUAGGAACAAGAAUGUGUUACAUAGAGUAUGUUUUCAAUAAUGUUAACCCUCUUUGCAUUUUGUCUUUUGUUUUAUGUGGUUUUCUAUAUUAUUCAAUCCUUAAACAGAUGAUAAAUUGCAGCCAACUUUCCUUGAGGGACAUUGCUACUUAGCCUUGAAUGUACUUAUCCCUGUGAUGUCCAAGUGAAAUAGGGAUGUACUGCAUUCCCAAUUUUGCAGGUUAAAGGCUGGGGGAGCAGAGAUUCACUAAGGACAUUGCAAGAUCUUAUUCUGAACUGUCUUGAGUUUGUCUACAAGACUGACCAAGCCGAGCUCCCUCAACCUCUCCUUGUAUGCCUUGCACUCCACCACCAUCUUGCUGUACUCCUUUCUGGGGGAACAAAACUCAAAAGUGCCCUAUGGAGGGGAAUAAUCUUUUCUACACCUUUGACCCACUGACUGCACUCCAGAUAAUGCAAUCCAGAUGGUUUCAUGAGAACUCUUCAAGGCCUUCACUCUGUGAACCUGGGGUGAGGAACAGUGAUGGCAGGCCUUCUAUCCCAGCACAUCAUGCUGGCACAUAUGGAGGCAUUUGAGAACUGUACACUACUAAACAAAUAUACGCUCAUCUGGCUUACUAAAAAUUAACAAAAAUGUAUGUAUGUGUCCCAUGUGUCCCCUAUUAAAUUACCUUGCUGUGAGCUCUCCCCAGCCUGUGUGACUGGAAGCGUGUUUAUCUCAUGGUAGAUAACUGCAGAUAUAUGCUGUAGUGGACACAUGUCCGGUCAUGCAAUGGGACAGGCAUUGUGCCUCAGGGAAAGGGGAUCCAUAAGCAGGCUAGUCCAGCCUAAUCCUGCUGGAAAUCCUGCUGGAAAUCUUUCCUUGUUUACAGUUGAAGGACCUUCAUGAGAAGUGGCUGCAGAGAUGGAAAUCACUUAAAUUAAAUGUUUAGGCAGGUUGGAUCUGAGCUGGUCUGCUUCUGAUGGAUUUCUCAGAAUGCAAGGGGUCAUUGCAGCUGAUGCAAAAAUUAGCCUCCUGAAAUGAGGAUGGGAAUCAAAAUAUCAAACUUAGUUUAACUCUUUAACUCUUAUUCUUUCGGGACCUGCAGGUUUUCCAGAUCUUAAAAGAAACAGAGGUUCCAAAGACAUACCUCAUGCAGCUCUGGAUGCUCCCAGAGCCCCUUAGUCUCAGCAUCACUCACUACCCAAGUCAGAGGUGUCAAAGCAGUGGUAGAUUUGAGAGUCUGAAUCAUUCACUCACAUAUGGACAGAACAUGACAGUAGCUGUGAGAAACGCCAGGCACUCUGUUAGUCACGUGAAAGGGUCGAUGUCUACCUUAGCAAAAACUACAGUGAAAAAAGACUGGAGACGUUGCAAUACAUAGUUCCAUAUAAUCAGGGGUGUUAAGACUUCUCAUAUAUAUCAGUAUAGGCUAAAGAGAUAUAAUAGCUCAAUAUUCUUCAGUGAGCUAUUACGUUUAAAAUCAUAUAAAAUCAUGGUAUUAUAUUCCAUGUUAUCCAGCUGUGGCUAGUCACUACCCAGUGAAUUCAUCAUUCCUUUGCCCCACAGCUUUGUUUGCUCAGCCUUAUUCCAUGUAGAGCAUGGACAAUAUGUUCUUUCUAGCACGUGGGCAUUUCUAGAGCAAACAACAGAUACAAGCUUGCAGCGAAAGUCUCCAGAUAGCUCCUGCCUUUGCUCAGACAAAGCUUGAAGCCAGGAAUAAUUGUCCUGACAGUGCAAGACAUUCCCAAAUAUGUUCAGAAAAUAAUGGCGGGGGAAAUGGUACCACUAAAGUAAUUUUUUUUAUGUGAGGGUUUAGAACAACAGAAGGCAUGGGGUAAAAAUCUAGAGGAUGUUUUUGUCUGUUCCUGGCAUUGUUCAGACAUAAAGAAGGCAAACAAAUUUUCAUGAUAUGUACUUCUUUGAAAUAGUGUAAAUAAUACCGUUAUACCUUAUACCCUUCCCAAAGCCUAGAUUCAUACCAUAAGCCUUUAAGCAGCAGACUGAAGUGUAUUACACAAACUGGUUGGUGACCUUAAACCCCUUCUAGGUGGUUGGAAUAAUUUUCAGAAAUGUUCUUUUCUCUCUCUAUUGAGAUUAUACAGACACUGAGGCACAUUUUCUCCCAUCCUUAAUCACUGCAGCAAAGUGCCUUUUGUUAGGUGUUAUGAACGCCUAGUUUUCCUUUUUACUUAAAAAUGUUGGGCAGCAAUAAAUACACUCUGCAGUGUCAGGAAUCAUUACAAUAGGGAGAUAUGGUAACGUCACAAAGGAAAUAUCCUGUGCCGUCCAUAGUCGUACUUAAUGUUAUAAGCACACAAACUCAAAAAGCACAGUAGUAA